CGUGGGUAAUCUACCUUCGGGUGGGGAAUAACAGUCGGAAACGACUGCUAAUACCGCAUAAUGCAGCGGCACCUAAUGGUGACAGUUGUUAAAGCGGGGGAUCGAAAGACCUCGCGUCUGAAGAGGAGCCUGCGGCGGAUUAGCUAGUUGGUAAGGUAACGGCCUACCAAGGCUACGAUCUGUAUCCGACCUGAGAGGGUGGUCGGACACACUGACACUGAAUAACGGGUCAG
RNAcentral lists this ribosomal RNA (233 nucleotides) under uncultured bacterium. Its description in RNAcentral is "partial 16S ribosomal RNA". It matches the Rfam family "Bacterial small subunit ribosomal RNA", at positions 116 to 334 of the family's 1533-position model. The record is from RNAcentral.